RNAcentral lists this ribosomal RNA (442 nucleotides) under uncultured bacterium. RNAcentral describes it as "partial 16S ribosomal RNA". It matches the Rfam family "Bacterial small subunit ribosomal RNA", at positions 338 to 795 of the family's 1533-position model. The record is from RNAcentral.
CCUACGGGGUGCAGCAGUAGGGAAUCUUUCACAAUGGGCGAAAGCCUGAUGGAGCAACGCCGCGUGCAGCAUGAAGGCCUUCGGGUUGUAAACUGCUUUUAUAAGCGAGAAAUAUGAUGGUAACUUAUGAAUAAGGAUCGGCUAACUACGUGCCAGCAGCCGCGGUCAUACGUAGGAUCCGAGCAUUAUCCGGAGUGACUGGGUGUAAAGAGUUGCGUAGGUGGCAUAAUAAGUAGCUAGUGAAAUCUGGUGGCUCAACCAUUCAGACUAUUAGCUAAACUGUUAAGCUCGAGACCGUUAGGGGUAACUGGAAUUUCUAGUGUAGGAGUGAAAUCCGUAGAUAUUAGAAGGAACACCAAUAGCGUAGGCAGGUUGCUGGGACGGUUCUGACACUAAGGCACGAAAGCGUAGGGAGCAAACGGGAUUAGAUACCCGAGUAGUC